CUAAUACAUGCAGUCGAGCGAACGGACGAGAAGCUUGCUUCUCUGAUGUUAGCGGCGGACGGGUGAGUAACACGUGGAUAACCUACCUAUAAGACUGGGAUAACUUCGGGAAACCGGAGCUAAUACCGGAUAAUAUUUUGAACCGCAUGGUUCAAAAGUGAAAGACGGUCUUGCUGUCACUUAUAGAUGGAUCCGCGCUGCAUUAGCUAGUUGGUAAGGUAACGGCUUACCAAGGCAACGAUGCAUAGCCGACCUGAGAGGGUGAUCGGCCACACUGGAACUGAGACACGGUCCAGACUCCUACGGGAGGCAGCAGUAGGGAAUCUUCCGCAAUGGGCGAAAGCCUGACGGAGCAACGCCGCGUGAGUGAUGAAGGUCUUCGGAUCGUAAAACUCUGUUAUUAGGGAAGAACAUAUGUGUAAGUAACUGUGCACAUCUUGACGGUACCUAAUCAGAAAGCCACGGCUAACUACGUGCCAGCAGCCGCGGUAAUACGUAGGUGGCAAGCGUUAUCCGGAAUUAUUGGGCGUAAAGCGCGCGUAGGCGGUUUUUUAAGUCUGAUGUGAAAGCCCACGGCUCAACCGUGGAGGGUCAUUGGAAACUGGAAAACUUGAGUGCAGAAGAGGAAAGUGGAAUUCCAUGUGUAGCGGUGAAAUGCGCAGAGAUAUGGAGGAACACCAGUGGCGAAGGCGACUUUCUGGUCUGUAACUGACGCUGAUGUGCGAAAGCGUGGGGAUCAAACAGGAUUAGAUACCCUGGUAGUCCACGCCGUAAACGAUGAGUGCUAAGUGUUAGGGGUUUCCGCCCCUUAGUGCUGCAGCUAACGCAUUAAGCACUCCG
This 840-nucleotide ribosomal RNA is filed under the name Staphylococcus aureus. Its description in RNAcentral is "bacterial SSU rRNA". It matches the Rfam family "Bacterial small subunit ribosomal RNA", at positions 48 to 871 of the family's 1533-position model. The record is from RNAcentral. Lineage: Bacteria; Bacillati; Bacillota; Bacilli; Caryophanales; Staphylococcaceae.